Molecule: ribosomal RNA, 2217 nt
Filed under: Triticum aestivum (bread wheat)
Lineage: Eukaryota; Viridiplantae; Streptophyta; Magnoliopsida; Poales; Poaceae
Description: partial small subunit ribosomal RNA
Source: RNAcentral
GGCCCCCCGCGCCGUCUGCCCCCCAGGUCGGCCGCGCACGCUGCGUGCGCCCGGUCCAUGGUCCGGAGGGCAAGCCCAGAGGGCAGAGGGGCACCAACUUUCCGUAGACCGGGCGCAGGCCAGAGUCCGGGCCGGUCACGCCGUCCGCGUGGCGUAGUGCGCAGGCGGCCACGGGCGCGACGGGCAUGCGGCCACCAGAGGAGAACCGUUAUCUUUACCGUGCCCCCCGCUCCCCAUAAUCCCAAAUCGCGCAAGGAGGAACUCAAAUCCAGAGCCCUCUCCUCCCCAAACCCUCCCCUCCCCUCCCCUAGCGGAUCCACACCUCUCCCUCGCGGCGGCGGCGGCGGCCAGAGCGGGAAGCGAAAACUCGAAGCAGCCCCCGAGCGGCGAGCAUGGCCAGCGAAGGCGAGCACGCGGCGGCGGCGGGCGAGCAGACGCCGCUCAAGAAGGCGGGCGAGGCGGAGCAGGGCGAGGAGCUCCAGGCCCCCUCCGGCUGGACCAAGAAGCUUAAUCCCACUCGGGGUGGGAAGUUUGAGGUUGCUUUUGUUGCACCAACUGGCGAGGAGGUCAAGACCAAGAGAGCUUUAACCACAUACCUAAAAGCACACCCUGGAGGCCCUGCUCUUUCAGAGUUCGUCUGGGCAACCGGCAAUACUCCCAGACGGUCCUCACGUCUAAGUGCGAAGCCUAAGGCUACUGAGAGCCCAGAAGAUGAGAAACCCUCACGCCGAAGUGGAAAGUCUAAGGCUACCGAGAGCCCGGAAGAUGAGAAACCUGCCAAACGGGGAAGGCCCUCAAGCUCUAAGAAAGGCAAAAAGGGGAAACAGGAGGAUGCAGAGGACGCAGAAGCUGAAAGUGGAGAUCAUGCUGAUGCUGAAGAAGCCAAAGGCACUGAAGUGGAGAUGAAAGAUGCUGAAGAAGCCAAAGUCACUGACCUGGACCUGGAGAUGAAAGAAGCUGACAAUGCUCAGGAAGAGAAGAAAGAGGAAGAGGCUGGCGGUUCGGUUGGAGAGAAGAAAGAGGCUGACACUGUUGCUCAGGAAGAGAAGAAAGAGGCUGACACUGUUGCUCAGGAAGAGAAGAAAGAGGCCGACCCUGUUGCUCAAGAAGAGAAGAAAGAGGCCGACACUCUUGCUCAAGAAGAGAAGAAAGAGGCUGACACUGUCGCUGAAGAAGAGAAGGAAGAGGCUGACACUGUCGCUCAAGAAGAGAUGAAAGAUGCUCCUGUCGCUGAUGCCCCAGAGAAGACUGAAGAAGUGGAAGGCGAAGCAGCUGAAUCUGAAGUAGCUCCCGUGGAGACCGAGAUGCCUGACCCUGUAACAGAGAACAAGGAAAACGAGAAGCCAGCUGAAUUUGAAGAAGUCCCCGUGGAGUUUGAGAUGUCUGACCUUGUAUCAGAGAACAAGGAAAAUGAGAAGCCAGCUGAAUCUGAAGAAGUCCCCGUGGAGUUUGAGAUGUCUGCCCCUGUAUUAGAAGAGCAUAAGGAAGAUGAAAAGCCAGCUGAAUAUGAAGUAGCUCCCGUGGAGGGUGAGAAAACUGAAAACGGCCUGGCGGUUGAAUCCACAGUGUCACCUCCAGCAACUUCAGAGGAAAAGAAAGUAGAAGCAGAUAGCACCAUCAAUCCGGCGACCCCUCCUCCAGCGGAGGUGAAGGCAGAUGCUCCAGCGGCAGAGGCAGCAAAGGCUGCGGAGAAUCCAGCAGACAACACUGCUCACAAGGAUGACCAGGGUAACGCCGGCACCACGGGAGAACAAUCCACCGGGAACGUCGACAACAAUGGACAGAUUCAUCCAGGUGUUUCUACCGUGCGGUGCAUCUGAAGGUAGGUUCCGUGGACGACGACAGGCGAGGCGAGGCGAAACGACGACAGGCGAGGCGAAACGGGGAACAAACUUGGUCUCUGUGUGCUUAGGAUGGAGUCCCGUAUUUGCUUUGAGAACUGUAAGCGUGUUUAACCUGACAGCGCCUGUAAUUGUAGGCCCUUUCCGCAUACUUCACAGCUUGUUGUCUUAUGAGGUGCUGCAGGGCAGCAGGCUGGCUUAUGCCGCCUCGGUCAUUAUUAUCAUUUGUAACUUGUUAGAGUGCACAUUAAUCUCAGGAGGACAUAGACAUAAUACUUAUGCUGCUGUUGUUGUAACGACCUUUAUGCCUUUGCCUUGUGUUGCUAUUCAUAAAUAAGCCUUGUAGGCUUGAACAUGGGUUGGGUUGCUAGCUGGG